CCUACGGGGGGCAGCAGUGGGGAAUAUUGGGCAAUGGGCGCAAGCCUGACCCAGCAACGCCGCGUGAAGGAAGAAGGCUUUCGGGUUGUAAACUUCUUUUAAGAGGGAAGAGCAGAAGACGGUACCUCUUGAAUAAGCCACGGCUAACUACGUGCCAGCAGCCGCGGUAAUACGUAGGUGGCAAGCGUUGUCCGGAUUUACUGGGUGUAAAGGGUGUGCAGCCGGGAAGACAAGUCAGAUGUGAAAUCCCGCGGCUCAACCGCGGAACUGCAUUUGAAACUGUUUGUCUUGAGUACCGGAGAGGUCGUCGGAAUUCCUUGUGUAGCGGUGAAAUGCGUAGAUAUAAGGAAGAACACCAGUGGCGAAGGCAGAUGACUGGACGGCAACUGACGGUGAGGCGCGAAGGCGUGGGGAGCGAACAGGAUUAGAUACCCUAGUAGUC
This 442-nucleotide ribosomal RNA is filed under the name uncultured bacterium. RNAcentral describes it as "partial 16S ribosomal RNA". It matches the Rfam family "Bacterial small subunit ribosomal RNA", at positions 338 to 795 of the family's 1533-position model. The record is from RNAcentral.